Passer domesticus (house sparrow) is the source of this 5558-nucleotide long non-coding RNA. RefSeq lists it as uncharacterized. The transcript is spliced from 3 exons. The record is from RefSeq and is a predicted model, not a curated record. NCBI's taxonomy places the organism in Eukaryota, Metazoa, Chordata, Aves, Passeriformes, Passeridae.
UUCAAGGGCUUUUCAGUUAUAACAUGCUCUGGCAGAGCAGAAAGAGGAGGGAGUUGUACCUUCAAUGUCAUCCAGGCCUGCAACAGCUGUGUAGGAGGAAAGAAUCAAACUGCAAAGUAUCAGAACUGGAAUUGAACCCUGAUAACCAGGCCUGCCUGUCAUCUCACCAUUAUCAUAAUCACAACACAUUUCUGCAGCUAAAUGCAAGAUAUGGAGCUGUGGCUUUUGGAGAUGAAUGGAACGUGCACCUUUCACAUCUCAGCUGAGAGACUACACCAGGAUAUGUCUGAGAUGAUUUCAGGGAGAGCUGAAUGACACUCUCUAAAGAAAAUAAACAAACUAACUUGGACCUCUAGACAAGUACAGCAAUGGCAACCCUCCAAGCUGCCUGUGGGAAGCAGCAGUCCCUUUGACCCAGCAGUCCCUGGGCAAACUGCAGUGUGUCCAUGGAGUGGUGACAGCCAUGCAGGGGAGCACCUUUGGCUAACACAGGGACCCCAGGGAGAAGAGAAAGUCCAGGUAGCCAACUGUACCAUGGUAGAGCACCAGUGUGUGCUGGGGAGCUUCAGAGAGAGCCAUUCCCUGCAUAAACAAACAAUCAGUGAGAUGCAGAAGCCACAAUUCCUGUGCUAGUACUGUCCUGCAGAAGCUUCCUCAUGGAUAUUUUCCUUUAUCAAUAGUUGUACUUUUGGACACAAUGGACAGACUGUAGUACAGUGCCAGUGCCUCAGGUCACAGCAGGUUGAAUAAAGCUAAAGCAGGACUUAACCCAACAGUUUUUCCCAGUGGGUUGCAAAAUUUGGUAGCUGUCAUAAGUAUUGGCUUCCUCUUUCUGAAAAGGAAACUGGUUUUGCUCUGGGACAGCAGGAGAGCAAAAAAAACCAGCAAAGUCCCCAAGCUUCAACAGCUGUCCAUCACACACAAUGCUGAAGUGUCCCAAGUUCAUCUCUUUACAACAGGAUUCAAGCUUAAAAAUACAGGAACACUUCUGAAAAUCCAACUCACAAGCACGUGCAUUUAUUUUCUCCCCAAAUCUACAAGAAUUUACAACAAAAAUGUCUAGAAGUGUAAGCUGAUCAGUCAGUACAUUGGUCUGGUAUGGUAUAGAGCUAUAAACAGUAUAAUCAAUGCAAUUUGGAGUAAAUUAUGCUGUUAAAUAGUCCCUGUGAAAAAUUUAGAAGUUAAUGGAAAGAUUUCUACUGCCUUCAAGUUUUUGAUUGUGUUCAAAGAGAGCAUCUCCACCAGCUGCAUAGUGCACAUACAUUGUAGAAUCAUUUCAGCAGCUUCCCUGGACAUUUACAACUACACUUUUCUCUGCUUUAAACUCAGCAGAGUGUAGCUGGUGGCCAUGUGUACAAGGAAUGGUAGUGUACUUUUCAGUGUGAGUGACAGUUUGACAGACGUCUUGUAGAGGUUGGGAUAUUAGUUUCUAAACUUCAGCUUCCCAGUGGAAUUCCCAUUUUUCUUUAAAAAAAAAUCAGCAAAAACUUUGUCUUAUCCUCAGACCAUAGCCCAGUUUAGAAAUCUCAAAUUGGUAGUACUUUAUAGUUCUCUUAAAGUUUCUAUCAGUUAAUUUUCAUACAAACACAUUCUUGUUCCCACUGACAGUCAAAACGGAAUACUUGUGAACUAGUUCAGUUCACACACGUCUUUAUUUAAAAGAAUAUCAGGAGUCACAGAUUUUCUUUUUAAAGAAAAAAUCAGAUCAUCUUGGCCUAAAGCUCUCUCAUCCAGCAGCCAACCCCAAACUCCAGCCUCUGUAUGUGACUGCUUGUUCAAAAUUCCUUCUCAGUCAGUUUUCAGACUUCAGUUCUGCCUCAUUAUUUGACAGACCACUUCUCACACCAAUCCUAGAUAUAUCUUAGGAAUCUCUGGGCUGCUUGACUUUUGAUUUUCAGAAGAAACCAUGGGUCUUAUAACUUUUGUCUUACACAAAGAGGCCAUUGACCCAGUUGUUGAUGUUUAAUUAUGUCCUCUGAUACCUCCUUCCUGAAACAUUGUUUGAUUUUUCUUGGAUCUACACUAACACUAGUUUUCUGUGGUAGAUAGAAUAUGCAACCCAGAAUACUUAAAAUAAAAAUAAUGGAUUCUCUAAAAUACAGAGUUGCAUUCCUAAAGGUUAGUUUCCCUGUCAUGCCAGAAUAAAUCACUCAAAACUAUUUUACAUUAUUUCCUACUAGUCAUAAAUAGAAUUCACCCUGUGAUAAUGCUUGCUGUGAUAUUGGGCCUGAAUGUUGUUCAUUUCUCCUGAUGCCAUCAGUUUUUAUAACCUGUCUCUACUUAGAUUUUGUGACAAACAUUUGUCACAGACAUGGGGUCCACUGGGCUAUGUGUUGGACAUGUGCAGAACAAACAAAGUUUCUGAAUUUUUAUACACUCCACCAUAGCAUUUUCAAAAACAUGUCUUUACUGAGUUUUGUGCUGCUUAUUCCUGUGAGCAUUCAGAUCUGCCUUGACGUUUUAGGUAACUUAAGUACUAUGGUGGCCAUUUUAGUGUCAAAGGAGAAAAAUUAAUAUAAGAUGUUCCAAGUGCUUGGUUUCCAUGUCAUCCUCAAAAAUAUUCUGAAAGGUCGAGUAAUUUGAACUGAAAAUAAUUUGAACAUUUUUUGGCAUUACAAUCAAUGUUCAUAAAGAAACAUGUGGCCAGCUUAGGGUCUCAGUACAAAGCAGCAAAUUGACUCCAUUAUUUUACAGAGGAUCAAGCACUAGGCAGAAGUUUACUUAUGUUAUUGUGCUCAACUCUGAUGAAAUAAUUGAGAUUGCAGAUGGAAGGAACAUGUAGCCCAUCAAAUCCUUUUAAAUACCCAUUUUUAUUAGUAUUUUUACCUGUUAUGCAUGUCAUUAGCAUUGUAAGGAAAGCAAGAGUCAUAGUACAUAUAUUCCUGAAAGUAAGCCAGCUUUAGAGAAAGCCAACAUUAUCUUCCUUUGACCCUACAAAUAAGAGGAUUAGAAGUACAACGGAAAGCAAGAAUGUUUAGAAAGUCUUGGAGGCCACUUUAAAGGCGUUUGUAUGUUGCAAAUGAUCAGAGAAGUGAAUAUUAAAAGAUACAUAGCUGAAUUUCGAAAUUGUAGAGGUUUUGGCAAGCAAGUAAGAAGCCCUUUUCACAUAGUGUCAUCUGUUUUUACUUUUACACAAAAAGAGCCCUGCGGUAUCCUUUUAAAUAGUGCAGGAGCCCUCAGCUGGGCCUCCCUGACUUGCAGUGCAAAACCCACCAAAAUGUAGAAAAACCUUACCCUCUGCAUAGCAGGAGCCAUGGGUCAAGAGUGCAUGUGUGUGUGCCAUAAUAUGGGGCAGAGCUGCGUGAUUUGUAGAGGUUUUACAGAUGAGAAAUUAAGCCAGUUUUGUCACCAUAUUGACACUUCCUCCUAGAUGAAGAAUUCAGACCAGCCCAAAAACAAAAGCCCAGCACUGGGACUAAUCAGCCUUUAAAAUGGAAUAAAUUAACAUUUUAAAAGCAAACCCAUCCCCAGCAGUUUUGUUUGCCAGGAAGGGGAAGACUCCACCAAAUCCAGUAGAGAUUCAGCUGUUGACACUGCCCAGGCAUAUCCCAAUGCACAGUGACACAAAGUCAAGAGAUGGCAUCUUCAGCCUUUUGAAUUAAGAAUGUCUCCAUGGGCUGUUUCAAAUGGAGAUGUCUCUACUACAGCAUUCAUUCUAGUCAGUCGUUUAUUCCUGGAAUUUCCUGUAGGACAUCUGUGUGAUUCAGUCAGUAUAUGGAUAGACAGUUACAAUACAGCUCGAGGCCUUAGGAGCAUCACAGCAUAACCCAGAUUCCCAUUAAUUUCAGUAAUAAUUGUACAUUUUCUGACCUGGCUUCUGCUCUUUUCUGCAGCAGCAUCUCCAAAUGCCACUGCCCAUUCCAUGGAAGACUGCAGCUGACCAUGCAAUGUGGUGAGGCAGCAGCCUUUGACAUGCCCAGCAAUGAACAUGCCAUGAAUCUGAAAGCAAAUAUUUAGGGGCUCAAAGCCCUAGUUUUUGAAUGUUUGAAUCACAAGCUUCAAACAAAUGGGCUUGCAUGAGCACUUCACUAAAAAAAGGAGGGAAUUGGAGCCUUUGUCCUUAAUCCAAACCAGAGUGGUUACUGACAGAAGGACACUUGUAAAGGAUCAAAGCUAUUGCCAAAAAAAAAAGAAGGAGGGAGGGGGUAGUUAAAAGAGAGGGUACAGCAUUAUCUUCAUUCCAACAGAUACUUUCCUGUCUGGAAAACAGUGAGAGAGACUGCACAUAAACAUUUUUAUUGUCAUGUCACAUGAUGGUGCUGCAUUGAAGGUGAUAGAUUUCCUAGCAAAUGUUUGUGUGGAAAGGCAAACGUGGCAGAGAGAACUCCUAGGACCUUUGGACCUUGCCAGCCCCCCAGGAAUGCUAGGGAUCAGUGAGGACCAGCAGGUUCCUUACAGUGGGAGUGUGAGAACGUGUGUGAGAGAGACAGUGAGUUCAUAUGCAGUGAAAUAAAGGAAUGUCUGAGGCUUUACAUUUGUGUAUAUACUUCACUGCAUACCACUUUACAUGAUAUAUAUAUAAGUUAAAAUAACAUAUAGUAUAAAUUUCAUCUACCAGUUUUUCAUUAUAGUCUAUAAAUGUGCAGAACUAAACAGUAUUUUAAAGACUGAAAUUCUGUCCAGAGAACUCAAAAGCAGGAUCUUGCUGGUUGUGCAAGAGUGCAAGGAGCAUUUAUGGGAGCUUUACACAUGGCAGGCUUGUUUGAGUGUAUUUCCUUUCAUUGCUUCGUGCAGCAGAGAACUGGAUACACCAGAUACACAGUGGCCAAAUUAUUUCUUGUAUAGCCAUCAGCAAAGUUGCACCAAGACAGGACCAUUUUGUCUAUUGGCCUUUGUUACAACUACAGUUAUUGUAAACUACAUAUUUGCUGAGAAAUUUAUUCCUUGCUUUAAUUUGACACUUUAUUAACCUGAGGAAAUUAACACAAAACAGAACCAUCUUUUUCCUGUUCAUUUAAAGUCCCAUUGCUGAAACAGACAAACAAAUUGCACAAAGUUUAUAUAAUGGCCAGUACUAGAUGUAAAAUAACUUACAGCUUGUGGUUAUAGAACAGCCUGCUGUUACUUGUUUAUAUUACUGCCCUGAAUCUCAAUUCUUCUUAUCCCCUGUUAACAAUGUUAAUUUUAUGUUAGGUGGACAAUACUGACAUCCAUGUAAAUUGUUUAUAUUGGUUUGAAUCCUUCUAUAUUGGAUGCUGAAGUCUGCAUCCUAUGAGUUCCCUAAGCUACCACUGUAAAGUAAAAACUGGAAGAUGGGGAGUGAGAAGAGGACAUUGCAUAGGAAAGCAAACUGCAGCUCAUUUCAAUUUCAUACUAUUGCUGCGUGAGAACUGUCCUUCACACAGAAGUAUGGGAAAGUAGAUCUUUUCCUGUAGCAGGUCCCAAAUAACAUGUAGGUCCAGAGCUCUGCUUAAACUGAGGCUUGUGGGACAGCACAAUUUAACUAGAGGUCUGCAGUGCUUAACCAGUUAUAUCAACUCUUGCCUUGCUACUCAUCUUCUGCUAGCCAUGCUCCAGAAGGUCACUGUUGAUCACUGGAUGACAAAAAGCAGCUAUGA